AUGAAAGUGUAUUGUGUAGAUUUUGUUCACUCAUACCACAAGAUUGACAUUUGAUCGGAUUCGAGCAGUUUGAGUUUUUUCUAAGAACGAGCACAACCUUAUGUUGUCGUCAUGCUCGCCCACAGAUGGUGCCACAAUACAACAGUGUGCGCAAACAGAAAAGCAUUAACAUAAAUGCAAAUGGCCAAUUUUAUGCGAAAUGGCAUUAUAAAAGAAGGCCGAUUUCAAAGGAACUCCUCUUUUCUGAUUGUGAUCCUCCAAAGUAAUUGUAGUGCGCGCGUGUGUAGAUUUUAAUUUGUGAGGAUCAGCUAGUGCAACAAAAAGCUGCAAAAAUGCGUCUGAUAUUUGUUAGUUUUGUUAGUCCAUUAAAAAUAUAAUUGUUAAGUGUUAGUAUGGUUAGUAUUUGUUAAUUUCUAAAUCCAAAACCUAAGACUAAUACACAUUAAAAUCUAGUAAUAUGAUACGCAAUAACGGACGAAACAAAAGAAGGCGUUAAAAGAGUGUUAAAAAUCCAAGAAAAAGGUCCAUGACAAGGGGCCUUUUUCUUUAUGUUCAUUUCGAAUUUCCUGUAGUGCAGUGGAGGUGAUUUCCGGAAGAUAGUGCGAUUCACGGGCAAAGUAUAUUCCGACGCUACAGCCGCCGUUCAGUUCUGUGGGCACAGCCGUGGUCGCAUUCUCACGUGGUCACGUGGAUCGGCCCUGUUCAUCGUCCGCUUGCAUCAGGCCGCCAUCUUCCAAUGCCCGCCGAAAUCCACAUAGCCAAACCAGGAUCGCUCGACGUUUCCGUCUUUCAACCAUCGCCGCAGUCGAUCGGCUGUUCCAAUCGGGCCUCGAUCCCUGAUCGGCCAAGACAAGUCGUCAUCGCCGCGUGCCGUCUAUGACGAUCAGCGAUUUCCUCGAUGCUAUCCGCCAUCACGAUUUCCUCGAAGCCACCAAACUGUCAGCUACCACCACCAGGAUCCGGAUCCCAACGAAACAAACCAAGCAAGUACCCCUAAUAUGUGACGUCACUCAAUAAAUAUGUAAAAUGUAAA
Armigeres subalbatus is the source of this 1033-nucleotide long non-coding RNA. RefSeq lists it as uncharacterized. The transcript is spliced from 3 exons. The record is from RefSeq and is a predicted model, not a curated record. Lineage: Eukaryota; Metazoa; Arthropoda; Insecta; Diptera; Culicidae.